RNAcentral lists this ribosomal RNA (561 nucleotides) under Circumvitellatrema momota. Its description in RNAcentral is "partial 28S ribosomal RNA". Lineage: Eukaryota; Metazoa; Platyhelminthes; Trematoda; Plagiorchiida; Cyclocoelidae. The record is from RNAcentral.
AGAGAGUAAACAGUACGUGAAACCGCUCAGAGGUAAACGGGUGGAGUUGAACUGCAAGCUCUGGGGAUUCAGCUGGUGGGCGUGGUGUGAUCUUGGUCAUGUGGGUUGUGAGCUCGGGUCUGCUUAGCCGCAGGUCCCCACUUUCGGUGGGGGUGCGCGUAUCACUUAUCAAGUGUUGCGCGCCCGGGCUCUCUCGGACCUGCUUGCCAGUGCACUUUCUCAGAGUGUUCACCACGACCGGCGUUGCCGUCUGACUGUUGCGGUUAAACCGGCCUGGUAGGGUCCUCGUGACUUUGCUAGGUCGGGAUGGCAGGUAGCCCUUUGUGUACUUCGGUGCGCUUCGGGUGUAAUAGCUGACUGCAUCUGUUCUGUGCGGUACGUCGGAGACGGCGGCCUGUGCGUGCAGGUGUGCCUGUUGCAUCGGCAGCUCCGGGUCUGGUUGCCUUGUUGCCUGUGAAUGCAGGCCAGGUGAUGUCUCGGUGUUGUUCGGUGCUCGGUUGCACUUGUGGUACCUUGUAAAGGCCUAUAGUCUGUGGUGUAGUGGUAGACUAUCCACCCGAC